UUCUGAUUGGUGUCUUUCGCAC
This 22-nucleotide non-coding RNA is filed under the name Rattus norvegicus (Norway rat). The record is from RNAcentral. Lineage: Eukaryota; Metazoa; Chordata; Mammalia; Rodentia; Muridae.